AUUGAACGCUGGCGGAAUGCUUUACACAUGCAAGUCGAACGGCAGCACAGACUUCGGUCUGGUGGCGAGUGGCGAACGGGUGAGUAAUGUAUCGGAACGUGCCCAGUCGUGGGGGAUAACGUAGUGAAAAUUACGCUAAUACCGCAUACGAUCUAUGGAUGAAAGCGGGGGAUCGCAAGACCUCGCGCGAUUGGAGCGGCCGAUAUCAGAUUAGGUAGUUGGUGGGGUAAAGGCCCACCAAGCCAACGAUCUGUAGCUGGUCUGAGAGGACGACCAGCCACACUGGAACUGAGACACAGUCCAGACUCCGACGGGAGGCAGCAGUGGGGAAUUUUGGACAAUGGGCGAAAGCCUGAUCCAGCCAUUCCGCGUGCAGGAUGAAGGCCCUCGGGUUGUAAACUGCUUUUGUACAGAACGAAAAGGUUUCUACUAAUACUAGGAGCUCAUGACGGUACUGUAAGAAUAAGCACCGGCUAACUACGUGCCAGCAGCCGCCGUAA
Molecule: ribosomal RNA, 500 nt
Filed under: uncultured bacterium
Lineage: Bacteria
Description: partial 16S ribosomal RNA
Rfam family: Bacterial small subunit ribosomal RNA
Source: RNAcentral